CCUACGGGUGGCAGCAGUGAGGAAUAUUGGUCAAUGGGCUUACGCCUGAACCAGCCAAGUCGCGUGAGGGAAGACUGCCCUAUGGGUUGUAAACCUCUUUUGUCAGGGAGCAACGCCGGCUACGUGUAGCCGGACUGAGAGUACCUGAAGAAAAAGCAUCGGCUAACUCCGUGCCAGCAGCCGCGGUAAUACGGAGGAUGCGAGCGUUAUCCGGAUUUAUUGGGUUUAAAGGGUGCGUAGGCGGAAUGCCAAGUCAGCGGUAAAAUCGCGGGGCUCAACCUCGCUCCGCCGUUGAAACUGGCGAACUAGAGUGCGGGAGGGGUAAGCGGAAUUCCUAGUGUAGCGGUGAAAUGCGUAGAUAUUAGGAGGAACACCGGGGGCGAAGGCGGCUUACUGGACCGUAACUGACGUUGAGGCUCGAAAGCGUGGGGAGCAAACAGGAUUAGAUACCCUGGUAGUC
Molecule: ribosomal RNA, 460 nt
Filed under: uncultured bacterium
Lineage: Bacteria
Description: partial 16S ribosomal RNA
Rfam family: Bacterial small subunit ribosomal RNA
Source: RNAcentral